UUAAGCGACUAAGCGUACACGGUGGAUGCCCUGGCAGUCAGAGGCGAUGAAGGACGUGCUAAUCUGCGAAAAGCGCCGGCGAGGUGAUAUGAACCUUUGACCCGGCGAUGUCCGAAUGGGGAAACCCAGUGUGUUCCGACACACUAUCGUUAACUGAAUACAUAGGUUAACGAGGCGAACCGGGGGAACUGAAACAUCUAAGUACCCCGAGGAAAAGAAAUCAACCGAGAUUCCCCCAGUAGCGGCGAGCGAACGGGGAGCAGCCCAGAGUCUGAAUCAGCUUGUGUGUUAGUGGAACGGUCUGGAAAGUCCGACGGUACAGGGUGAUAGUCCCGUACACGAAAAUGCACAGGUUGUGAACUCGAAGAGUAGGGCGGGACACGUGGUAUCCUGUCUGAAUAUGGGGGGACCAUCCUCCAAGGCUAAAUACUCCUGACUGACCGAUAGUGAACCAGUACCGUGAGGGAAAGGCGAAAAGAACCCCGGCGAGGGGAGUGAAAAAGAACCUGAAACCGUGUACGUACAAGCAGUGGGAGCACCUUCGUGGUGUGACUGCGUACCUUUUGUAUAAUGGGUCAGCGACUUAUAUUCUGUAGCAAGGUUAACCGUAUAGGGGAGCCGAAGGGAAACCGAGUCUUAACUGGGCGUUAAGUUGCAGGGUAUAGACCCGAAACCCGGUGAUCUAGCCAUGGGCAGGUUGAAGGUUGGGUAACACUAACUGGAGGACCGAACCGACUAAUGUUGAAAAAUUAGCGGAUGACUUGUGGCUGGGGGUGAAAGGCCAAUCAAACCGGGAGAUAGCUGGUUCUCCCCGAAAGCUAUUUAGGUAGCGCCUCGUGAACUCAUCUUCGGGGGUAGAGCACUGUUUCGGCUAGGGGGCCAUCCCGGCUUACCAACCCGAUGCAAACUACGAAUACCGAAGAAUGUUAUCACGGGAGACACACGGCGGGUGCUAACGUCCGUCGUGAAGAGGGAAACAACCCAGACCGCCAGCUAAGGUCCCAAAGUCAUGGUUAAGUGGGAAACGAUGUGGGAAGGCCCAGACAGCCAGGAUGUUGGCUUAGAAGCAGCCAUCAUUUAAAGAAAGCGUAAUAGCUCACUGGUCGAGUCGGCCUGCGCGGAAGAUGUAACGGGGCUAAACCAUGCACCGAAGCUGCGGCAGCGACACUAUGUGUUGUUGGGUAGGGGAGCGUUCUGUAAGCCGUUGAAGGUGGCCUGUGAGGGUUGCUGGAGGUAUCAGAAGUGCGAAUGCUGACAUAAGUAACGAUAAAGCGGGUGAAAAGCCCGCUCGCCGGAAGACCAAGGGUUCCUGUCCAACGUUAAUCGGGGCAGGGUGAGUCGACCCCUAAGGCGAGGCCGAAAGGCGUAGUCGAUGGGAAACAGGUUAAUAUUCCUGUACUUGGUGUUACUGCGAAGGGGGGACGGAGAAGGCUAUGUUAGCCGGGCGACGGUUGUCCCGGUUUAAGCAUGUAGGCGGAACGAUUAGGUAAAUCCGGUCGUUUUUUAACGCUGAGGUGUGAUGACGAGGCACUACGGUGCUGAAGUAACAAAUGCCCUGCUUCCAGGAAAAGCCUCUAAGCAUCAGGUAACAUCAAAUCGUACCCCAAACCGACACAGGUGGUCAGGUAGAGAAUACCAAGGCGCUUGAGAGAACUCGGGUGAAGGAACUAGGCAAAAUGGUGCCGUAACUUCGGGAGAAGGCACGCUGAUAUGUAGGUGAAGCCCCUGCGGGUGGAGCUGAAAUCAGUCGAAGAUACCAGCUGGCUGCAACUGUUUAUUAAAAACACAGCACUGUGCAAACACGAAAGUGGACGUAUACGGUGUGACGCCUGCCCGGUGCCGGAAGGUUAAUUGAUGGGGUUAGCGGUAACGCGAAGCUCUUGAUCGAAGCCCCGGUAAACGGCGGCCGUAACUAUAACGGUCCUAAGGUAGCGAAAUUCCUUGUCGGGUAAGUUCCGACCUGCACGAAUGGCGUAAUGAUGGCCAGGCUGUCUCCACCCGAGACUCAGUGAAAUUGAACUCGCUGUGAAGAUGCAGUGUACCCGCGGCAAGACGGAAAGACCCCGUGAACCUUUACUAUAGCUUGACACUGAACACUGGUCCUUGAUGUGUAGGAUAGGUGGGAGGCUUUGAAGUGUGGACGCCAGUCUGCAUGGAGCCGUCCUUGAAAUACCACCCUUUAAUGGCUGGUGUUCUAACGUAGACCCGUAAUCCGGGUUGCGGACAGUGUCUGGUGGGUAGUUUGACUGGGGCGGUCUCCUCCCAAAGAGUAACGGAGGAGCACGAAGGUUAGCUAAUCCUGGUCGGACAUCAGGAGGUUAGUGCAAUGGCAUAAGCUAGCUUGACUGCGAGAGUGACGGCUCGAGCAGGUGCGAAAGCAGGUCAUAGUGAUCCGGUGGUUCUGAAUGGAAGGGCCAUCGCUCAACGGAUAAAAGGUACUCCGGGGAUAACAGGCUGAUACCGCCCAAGAGUUCAUAUCGACGGCGGUGUUUGGCACCUCGAUGUCGGCUCAUCACAUCCUGGGGCUGAAGUAGGUCCCAAGGGUAUGGCUGUUCGCCAUUUAAAGUGGUACGCGAGCUGGGUUUAGAACGUCGUGAGACAGUUCGGUCCCUAUCUGCCGUGGGCGCUGGAGAAUUGAGGGGGGCUGCUCCUAGUACGAGAGGACCGGAGUGGACGCAUCACUGGUGUUCGGGUUGUCAUGCCAAUGGCACUGCCCGGUAGCUAAAUGCGGAAGAGAUAAGUGCUGAAAGCAUCUAAGCACGAAACUUGCCCCGAGAUGAGUUCUCCCUGAGCCUUUAAGGCUCCUGAAGGAACGUUGAAGACGACGACGUUGAUAGGUCGGGUGUGUAAGCGCAGCGAUGCGUUGAGCUAACCGAUACUAAUGAACCGUGAGGCUUAACCUU
Molecule: ribosomal RNA, 2903 nt
Filed under: Enterobacter cloacae
Lineage: Bacteria; Pseudomonadati; Pseudomonadota; Gammaproteobacteria; Enterobacterales; Enterobacteriaceae
Description: bacterial LSU rRNA
Rfam family: Bacterial large subunit ribosomal RNA
Source: RNAcentral